Molecule: ribosomal RNA, 433 nt
Filed under: uncultured bacterium
Lineage: Bacteria
Description: partial 16S ribosomal RNA
Rfam family: Bacterial small subunit ribosomal RNA
Source: RNAcentral
AACGAACGCUGGCGGCAUGCCUAACACAUGCAAGUCGAACGAGACCUUCGGGUCUAGUGGCGCACGGGUGCGUAACGCGUGGGAACCUGCCCUUAGGUUCGGAAUAACUCCCCGAAAGGGGUGCUAAUACCGGAUAAUGUCUUCGGACCAAAGAUUUAUCGCCUUUGGGUGGGCCCGCGUUGGAUUAGCUAGUUGGUAGGGUAAAAGCCUACCAAGGCGACGAUCCAUAGCUGGUCUGAGAGGAUGAUCAGCCACACUGGGACUGAGACACGGCCCAGACUCCUACGGGAAGCAGCAGUGGGGAAUAUUGGACAAUGGGCGAAAGCCUGAUCCAGCAAUGCCGCGUGAGUGAUGAAGGCCUUAGGGUUGUAAAGCUCUUUUACCCGGGAUGAUAAUGACAGUACCGGGAGAAUAAGCUCCGGCUAACUCCGUG